This 1379-nucleotide long non-coding RNA is filed under the name Equus asinus (donkey). RNAcentral describes it as "lncRNA (ENSEASG00005024528.1)". The record is from RNAcentral. Lineage: Eukaryota; Metazoa; Chordata; Mammalia; Perissodactyla; Equidae.
GAUUUUCUCCUAUGUUAUCUUUUGGAGUUUUGUAGUUUUGCAUUUUGCAUUUAGGUCUAUGAUUGAUUUUGAGUUAAUUUUUCCAAAAGGUGCAAAGUUUGUGUCUACAUUCAUUUUUUUGCUUGUGAAUAUCCAGUUGCUCCAGCACCAUUUGUUGAAAAGACUAUACUUUCUCCACUCAGUUACUUUUGUUCCUUUGUCAAAGAUCACUUGACUAACUUUGUGUGGGCCUAUUUUUGGGCUCCGUUCUGUUCCGUUGAUCCUUUUGUCUAUUCUUUCACCAGUAUCACACUGUCUUGAUUAUUAUAGCUUUGUAUUAAGUAUUGAAGUCAUGUAGUAUCAGUCUUCCAGCUUUGUUCUUCUUUAGAAGCUGUUUUUAAUUGAGUUGUUUGUCUUUAUUGUUGAAUUGCAAGAUUUCUUUAUAUAUUCUGGAUACUAGACCCUUAGCCAGAUGUAUGAUAUACAGUUAUUUUCUCUAAUUUUUGUUGUCUUUUCUCUUUCUAGAUGAUGUUCUCUGAAGCACAUAAGUUUUUAAUUUUGAUGAAGUCCAGUGUAUCUGUUUUUUUCUUUGGUUGUUUCUGUUUUUGAUAGGAUAUCAAAACUAAGCCAAGGUCAUAAAUAUUUACUCCUAUGUAACUUCUAAAAAUUCUAUACAUUUAAUGUUCACCAGGAUGAGAAUGGUGAUGUGGCUUUUGUCUCACUAGGAUGAGAAUGGUGCCUUGGUCUCAUGGAAAAGCCUGGGGAAAGGCUGUUGCUGUGAAUGUGGUGGAUUCUCUACUUGUGCCUGUGCAGGACAAGGACAUGGAGCCACUUGGCCAACUAUGAGGCCGGAACACAUGAUGUCAAUGAAGAAGAAGCCCCACUCACUGACCUCUUGAACAAUGCGAUCUGAUGAGCUUCCUGUUGGUGAAUGUAUCCACAUGCCUGGAUGGUGGUGCACCAUGGGGACAGAAGCUUCUAUGAUUGGAAUACUUCUGGACCACACCCUAUGAACCUCUUCAUCUGGCUGUUCAUCUGUAUCCUUUAUAAUAUCUUCAAUAAUAAACUGAUAAAUAUGACUAAAUGUUUCCCUGAGUUCUGUGAGCCAAUCUAGCAAAUAAAUCAAAACUGAGGAGGGGUUCAUGGGAACCUCUACUUUGUAGCCCGUCAGAAACACAGGUAACAAGCUGGAUUUGUGACUGGUGCCUGAAGGGAGGGAGUCUUGUGGGACCAAGCUCUUCACUUGUAGGGUCUGAUGCUUUCUCCAAGUAGAUAAUGUCAGAAUUGGGUUAAAUUAUAGGGCACCCAGCUGGUGUCGCAGAAUUGGUUGAUGUGGGAGAAACUACCACAUAUUUGGAGUACAGAAGCAUUCAGAGUAUUGUGUGUAGUGUAAAGGAAAG